RNA transcript from Dinoponera quadriceps, 3910 nucleotides. RefSeq lists it as uncharacterized. The record is from RefSeq and is a predicted model, not a curated record. The transcript is spliced from 2 exons. Lineage: Eukaryota; Metazoa; Arthropoda; Insecta; Hymenoptera; Formicidae.
GGUCAUUUCACGGUCAAAUAGUUGAAAAACUCCAUUUUUAAGGUUUUUUAUUUAAUUCUAGCUUCAGGUUGUGUGACAUUUAAGAUUUAUCAAUCUUAGUUUGAAAAAAAAUUAGUCGUGACCUUAAACUUCACUUUGGAGCCAAAGUCGAAAUUACUUCGAAGUCAAAGGUCAAAAUAAUGAAUGUGAAUCAUGGAGAAAAGUGUUUACCUUGGAUCUUGAUUCUGAUGGUUACUUUGACCUUUCGAUUCAAAGGUCAAGGUCAUUUCAAAUUCAAAAAGUAAAAGAAAAAAUUAUAAAUAAAUGCUGAUUAUAAACAUAAUUUUGACUUCAAUUGACGAUAUUGCAUGGUGAAAAUUUUUCUCCUGUCAGCGUUCCCCAGGAAUAACGACUUUAACGUGGCAGAACUUUGUUUCCAUCAGGGUGCUUGUUUAUCGUGAGUCCGCUAUUGAAAUCAGCGAUUUCAGCAUUUAAUUUACUGCAACUAACAUUAUUUCAGAAAUUUUAAAUUUAAGUUAAAAUUUGCGCCCUCUGCAUUUAAUUUACUGUAACUAACAUUAUUUCAGAAAUUUUAAAUCUAAGUUAAAAUUUUUUAAUAUCAGUUUUAUUAAAGUACAGAAAAAACGAAGUAAAAUAGUGCUCUCUAGGACUAAUAUUAUCAUUAUGGCUGAUUAUUCUGCUAAUCACAUUAUUGAUAUGGUGAUAGUUUUAGGCGAAUGCCAGAACAAUUACCGGGCAGCAGCACGGUGGUACGCUGAACGAUUUCCUUUAAGGCGUCAUCUUAGUCAUGUGACGAUACGUGCGUUAACUAUUAGAGCUCGUGGUGGACACCUUAACCGUCAGCGCAGACGUCACGAAUACGAUGAAAAUAAUGCUCGCGUUUUGAAAGUCUUAGCAGUUGUACAUCUUGAUCGUCAAAUCAGCAGUCGCACAAUUGAAAGGGAAAUCGGUAUUCCACGAAAUACUGCUUUAAGAAUUCUUAGAAAUUUAAGAUACCAUGCAUAUCACAUAACUUUGGUUCAAGAAUUAGGGCCAAACCAUAUUCAAAUGCGAAUUGAAUUUUGCCACUGGGCUUUAGCAAGGAUACAACAAGAUCAAGACUUUUUCAGGUAUGUGCUUUUUUCUGAUGAGGCUAAAUUUUACAGUGAUGGACAACUUAAUAGGCAUAAUUGCCACUAUUGUUCAGAUGAAAAUCCGCACUGGUACAGAGCUGUAGAUCAUCAGAAUAGAUGGAGCCUUAUGGUGUGGUGUGGCAUAAUAAAUGGCUACUUAGUUGGACCUUAUUUUUUCGAGGGUAAUGUUAAUAGAAACAGUUAUUUAGAAUUGCUUCGAGAUCGAUUGACAGGGCUGUUUGAAAAUGUUUAUUUAGCAACCAGAAUAAUAAUGUGGUGGCAACAAGAUGGUGCAGGACCUCACUUUGCACUAAUUGUUCGUCAGUUUUUAAAUAACCAUUUUAAUGCAAGAUGGAUCGGACGAGGAAGUCCAGUUAACUGGCCACCUCGCUCACCAGAUUUAACUUCUGAUUUUUAUUUAUGGGGUUACAUUAAAAACGCAGUAUUUUCACAACAGCCCACAACUAGAGCAGACAUGGAAAACCGUAUUCGUCAAGCUUGUAAAACUAUUUCAAGAGAAACUUUAUUAAGAACUGUGCCAAAUUUUCAUAAACGACUGAAUUUGUGCCUUGAAGCUAAUGGUGGUAAUUUUGAACACUUACUUCGUGCUUAACAAUUAUAAAGGUAACAAAAAGUGAGUGGCAAGGGAACUCACGCUAAACAAGCAUCCCAUCGACUAUUUGACCGUGAAAUAACCUUUGACCCUUAGCAUGACGCAUAUGGCUGAAAAAUAUAUUUUACCUUAAAAAACCUUAAAAACGCUGUUAUUUUGACGUUUUGACCUUGAAAUAAUCUUGAAAUGACAUUUGACCCCUAUUAAAAUUCAUAUGGUUGAACGCAGAAUUUCAAGCACUAUCAGAAUCUGGGGUCAAAAAUAGGGGUUCCUAUUUUAAAAAAUGAAGUUGACCUUGAAAUAACUUUGAAAAUCGACUUCAAGGUCAAAUUCAAGGUCACCAUUCAAUUUCCCCCAAAAAUAGAAAACUUUUGUCCCUAAACUUUUUUGAUUUGGGUCAUUACCAGUAAGUUAUUUGACUGGUUAGCUUAAAAUGGGCCACCCUGUAUGAGGACAAGGAUGGUGUUUGUCAACAUUUAGCAGAGAAGAACAAGAUAUUUCUCUGUUUUUGUCGCAGAAGUCCAGGGUGUUUGUUGGUUUCCAGCACGGAAGCGGCAAAGGUGGAUUUUCCCUCCACCGAAAAUCUGAGUUUAACGAUUGCGCGGAUUAGGAUGAAGAUUGAUAUCAUUCGGUAUAAAGAAGAGUUUGCAGUGAUGAAGGACAGCAAUUUUGAAGGAAUAAUGGACGUAGAUGUCGACGAAGAUUCUUACAGAUGAUAUCAAUUAUAUCAGAGACGCUAGUGGCCAAUUUAUAGAAGAGUUUUAUAAAGAAAUAGUUUAACGUUAUGCGUUUCGUGUAUGCUUAGAGUGACAGACUUGUUCAACCGUAUGUAAAUCAUUCGGAAACAUCUGACUAAAAAUCACGAUGCGAUAGAUGGUAUGUAUUACUCCGAUUGCAGAGAUUGGCUAUUUCAAAUAAUGUCAUGCAAUAUAUGUGCCCCAUACGCGCAAAGUAAAUGUUUUAAUUAGUGGAUUUGCGACGACGCAUUCCCCCGGCAAACAACGCGACCGACCGACCAUCCGUCGGUCGCAGAAACGGCGCUACGCGCCAACAAAUGAACACACGCUCGAAGCACGCAAACGACACGUGCACACGUCAACAAUAACAUUUGUUAUUGUUGUUAAGCACGUGUCGGAAAAACCGCGUUUCUCGCGGUAUAAAAGACCGCUCCACCGUGCUAUCGAGACCAGACUCCGCCGGAGUCAGCCGAGAUCGCAAGAUCAGAAGCUGCUCCGGAUCUCAUUCCCAGGUCGAGGGACCGCGACGGUGCGUACGCCAUCGCUGCUGUGAGUUCGCAGCCGACUCGACAAUCCUGUCAUCCGGAAAGUCCGAGGUCGUGCGUACGCGGUUUCUCCCGUGGAAGUCGCGGGCACCGGACUCACAACAACAUCCAUUUCGAGACGGUGUGAUCGCCGUCUCCACCGGGAGCUCCCGUCCCUCUUGCUCGCGGCGGACUUGGGGAUUGGCACGAGUUGGGGUGGUGUGUUCGCCGCCUCUGCGGAGUGUUCUCCAUGUCGGCCCCUCUACUCUAGCCGUUGGGCUCUGCGCCUCCGGGGUAUGCGAACGCCUCGGAAUACUGUUCCGCGUACCGCGCCGUAUCCUUAGAGACAACGCGUGUCUCUCCGCCGCACCUCACCGGAGGUGCCACGACCGCGCUGUGAACCGCGAACCGACCGACCGCCGGCUGCACUUCGGCUAGUCUCGCCCGGCUGACUCUACUGUUUCUGUAAAGAGGCACGAUACCGCGUGUCCUCCGCACCGGGAGUCGACCGACACUCCGCGUGCAGCAAUCACCGAACCGCGUACCGUAAACCGAACCGCGAACCGCGUACCGCGACGCCGAGUCAAGCAGGUGCAUUCCGCCGUUGCACUCCGAUGCGAGACCGUCGAAUUUAAAGCCGCGAAACUUCAACACGCCGAACCGUCAACACCGCGCCCCCUCUCCGCUAACGCCGCGGAAUCCUCGCUGUGAGCAACACAGCUGCUCUAGAUCCGUUCCGGGAACACCGAUCCGCCGAAACACCGAGCGAACCGUCAAUACACGGCCGAAAGAUAAAUACGAGAUUCCGUCACCGGCACUGUCACCGUAAUAUUUACCGGCGUUAAAAGGCGAACAGCAAGCACUUGUCACGAGUAUAAUGUAUGCUUAAACAUCUUGGCAUUAGAAUAAACCAACUAUAUUCAA